CAGCCGCCGCGGUAAUACGAAGGGGGCUAGCGUUGCUCGGAAUUACUGGGCGUAAAGGGAGCGUAGGCGGACAUUUAAGUCAGGGGUGAAAUCCCGGGGCUCAACCUCGGAAUUGCCUUUGAUACUGGGUGUCUUGAGUAUGAGAGAGGUGUGUGGAACUCCGAGUGUAGAGGUGAAAUUCGUAGAUAUUCGGAAGAACACCAGUGGCGAAGGCGACACACUAGCUCAUUACUGACGCUGAGGCUCGAAAGCGUGGGGAGCAAACAGGAUUAGAUACCCGGGUAGUCCCUGUCUCUUAUAC
RNAcentral lists this ribosomal RNA (301 nucleotides) under uncultured bacterium. Its description in RNAcentral is "partial 16S ribosomal RNA". It matches the Rfam family "Bacterial small subunit ribosomal RNA", at positions 509 to 807 of the family's 1533-position model. The record is from RNAcentral.